RNAcentral lists this non-coding RNA (178 nucleotides) under Synergistaceae bacterium. RNAcentral's name for it is "6S RNA". It matches the Rfam family "6S / SsrS RNA". From Rfam's summary of the family: E. coli 6S RNA was the first non coding RNA to be sequenced, but its function was unknown until recently. It consists of 184 nucleotides that fold into an extended hairpin structure with a large single-stranded internal bulge. The record is from RNAcentral. Lineage: Bacteria; Thermotogati; Synergistota; Synergistia; Synergistales; Synergistaceae.
AAAUUCCUGCGGUGUGCGUGUAACGGGAUAUGUCUUGAGCCAACGUCCUUAUCCCGCGAGGUUUACUCCGAACCGGCAGCGGCGGCAUAUGCGUAUGUUGCCCACGUUAAGGCUCGGGAGGCCUCACUCCUUGGAGGAGCGGGUCAAGACAGUCCGUCCACGGCACUGCGGGUUUUUU